This 336-nucleotide ribosomal RNA is filed under the name Triticum aestivum (bread wheat). Its description in RNAcentral is "partial small subunit ribosomal RNA". The record is from RNAcentral. Lineage: Eukaryota; Viridiplantae; Streptophyta; Magnoliopsida; Poales; Poaceae.
AUGAUGAUUAUCCCUACAUGCAUAACAUAUUAUAAAGAGAUCUUCCUACGUGCCCCUUUUGUAAGGAUGCAUGCUGACGUGUGCACAUCAUUUCUAGCUUGUUUUGGUGCAUCUUUUAUCCUGCUUCAGCUGGUUAGCCUGAAUCCCCUUUUCUCCUGUUUCAGUUGGUUAGCAACCACUAUUGUUCAGGAAUUUUUAGUGGCGCACAUCUUGGUCUGGCGAGCCGAUGACCGGACAUCACUUGUCAAGGAAGCAAAAAGGACUACACUCACAAGGAACCAUGAAGCCAACGAUCCACGUCAACUAGAUGUUUUAGCUUUCAUUUUGUACAACUGA